UUGCCUAUAGUUCAGUUGGUAGAGUAUGAGGUUUUAACCUUGGUGUCAUGGGUUUGAGCCCCACAAUGGGCAAA
Podarcis lilfordi (Lilford's wall lizard) is the source of this 74-nucleotide non-coding RNA. Lineage: Eukaryota; Metazoa; Chordata; Lepidosauria; Squamata; Lacertidae. The record is from the annotation of a GenBank genome assembly.